UUAUGAGAGAGCAUCCUCAACUUGACGAAGAAGUCAAAUCGGGUUCUUUUUUUCAGCAAAACUCCGAUCUUCACCAAAUAUCGAUAAUUCUCUGGUGUUGGAAUUGAAUUUGUGACGAUGUCUAAGGAGAACGAACCAGCAAAGCUCUUAUUGCCUUACCUUCAACGUGCUGAUGAGCUGCAGAAGCACGAACCCCUUGUUGCCUAUUACUGUCGAUUGUACGCGAUGGAACGAGGAUUGAAGAUUCCUCAAAGUGAUCGUACUAAGACCACUGGUGCCCUCCUUGUGUCCCUUAUGAAACAGCUUGAAAAGGAUAAGAUGUCGUUGAAAUUGGGGCCUGAUGAUCAUCUGCAUUUGGAGGGAUUUGCCUUGAAUGUUUUUGCAAAGGCAGACAAACAAGAUCGAGCUGGACGAGCAGACUUGAAUACAGCAAAGACGUUUUAUGCAGCAAGUAUCUUUUUUGAGAUCCUCAAUCAGUUUGGUGAACUCCAGCCUGAUCUUGAGCAGAAACAGAAGUAUGCAGUUUGGAAGGCAGCAGAUAUAAGGAAAGCUAUAAAAGAAGGACGGAAGCCUGUUCCAGGCCCUCCUGGUGGUGAAAGUGAUGUUUCGGAGCUGUCCAGUGCACCAAGUGGUGAAUACGAUGUUGAACCUAGUGGAGCUAAUCCAGCCAUCAAACCCGCUCCAGAAUCAGAUUCCUCCCCUCGAUUAUAUGACAACGUACAGUAUAGUGCAAAUAGUCAGUCACCUCCGCCAUCUAUCCCACCACCACCUCCUUCACAUGCUCCUCUGUCUCAUCCUUCAUAUUCUAGUGGUGAUUAUCCUUCUAAUGAAGAUCAUUCUUCUCAUAAUUUCCCGCAACCUCCGCCAGCUAGCAGACACGAAAAUUCUUCUUACUCUCAGUUGUAUCAGCAUCAACCUUACUUGCAACAAUCCCAAUCGCACUUGCCACAGCACUACCCUUCUCAAGACAUUCCCUCUUCAUAUCCCAAUUUCCAGUCGUAUCCUAGCUUUACAGAGAGCAGCCUACCUGCUGCACCAUCACAUCCCCCUUCUUACUAUCAAGGGUCUGAUACUUCCUAUUCCACUAUGCCACCAUCUAGCCUGGCUAAUUAUCCAUCAAACAGCCAAUACAACUCAAGUGGUAGAAAUGGGAAUGCAGCGGAGCCUACCGCUAUUCCUACUAAAACAUAUCAAUACGACAGCAGUUACCAACCUCCACCAGAUAAGAUUGCUGAAGCACACAAGGCCGCAAGGUUUGCUGUCGGGGCUUUGGCAUUUGAUGAUGUUUCUAUUGCUGUAGACUACCUCAAAAAAUCACUUGAAUUGUUGACAAACCCAUCGGCUGGUCAAUGAAGUGCAUCCUGCCACAGCUGGAUUGUUUGAGCUCUGUGCUUCUCUUUUGGGUUUGUUCACUCUUACUGUUUUGUUUGUGGAGAUGGUUUGAUUAACUGUUUGUACCAUUGUUCAAACUGAAUUACGACGAUGUUCACAGAUGCAUCCUCCGAGUCCCAUCAUCUUGAGCCCGAGAACCAUAAGGAACUUUGAAAUUGAGGAUGUUGGCCCUUCACCUAUUGUAAAUUUGCAGCCCUUUUUCCUAUUUGGAGUAUUGAAAAUGGGUCACUAAGACUUUUGCAUUGUACUACUUCUGAAACAAACUUUGCGCCUAUAGUUUUCCUCUGA
Molecule: RNA transcript, 1680 nt
Organism: Nicotiana attenuata
Lineage: Eukaryota; Viridiplantae; Streptophyta; Magnoliopsida; Solanales; Solanaceae
Gene name: protein HOMOLOG OF MAMMALIAN LYST-INTERACTING PROTEIN 5-like
Exons: 7
Source: RefSeq, a predicted model, not a curated record